GUUUAGGGUUUAAAACCCUAAUGCUGGCUGAAUGAAAGAGUUCAGUUUAGGGUUUAAAACCCUAAUGCUGACUAAAGGGAAAAUUCAGUUUAGGGUUUAAAACCCUAAUGCUGACUGAAAGGAAAAAGUUCAGUUUAGGGUUUAAAACCCUAAUGCUGACUAAAGGAAAAGUUCAGUUUAGGGUUUAAAACCCGAAUGCUGACUAGAGGAAAAGUUCAAUUUAGGGUUUAAAACCCUAAUACUGACUAAAUGGAAAAGAGUUCAGUUUAGGAUUUAAAACCCUAAUGCUGACUGAAGAAAAAGUUCAGUUU
RNAcentral lists this long non-coding RNA (311 nucleotides) under Nicotiana tabacum (common tobacco). RNAcentral describes it as "long non-coding RNA (NTAB_LNC003489)". The record is from RNAcentral. Lineage: Eukaryota; Viridiplantae; Streptophyta; Magnoliopsida; Solanales; Solanaceae.